RNAcentral lists this ribosomal RNA (253 nucleotides) under uncultured bacterium. Its description in RNAcentral is "partial 16S ribosomal RNA". It matches the Rfam family "Bacterial small subunit ribosomal RNA", at positions 524 to 776 of the family's 1533-position model. The record is from RNAcentral.
UACGGGGGGGGUAAGCGUUGUUCGGAAUUACUGGGCGUAAAGAGCGCGCAGGCGGCUUGGUAAGUCGGAUGUGAAAUCCCGAGGCUCAACCUCGGGUCUGCAUCCGAUACUGCCCGGCUAGAGGUAGGUAGGGGAGAUCGGAAUUCCUGGUGUAGCGGUGAAAUGCGCAGAUAUCAGGAGGAACACCGGUGGCGAAGGCGGAUCUCUGGGCCUUACCUGACGCUCAGGCGCGGAAGCUAGGGGAGCGAACUGG